UUGAGGCUUGGUGGUGCUUGGGAAGCAAAAAACAAAAAGGUUAUGGUGGGGAAAAAAAAAAAAAUCACAAUUCUUUCCCCAUUAUAACCUUUUUGGUUUUUACUUCCCAAGCACCACCAAGCCUCCA
Pelobates cultripes (western spadefoot toad) is the source of this 127-nucleotide non-coding RNA. NCBI's taxonomy places the organism in Eukaryota, Metazoa, Chordata, Amphibia, Anura, Pelobatidae. The record is from the annotation of a GenBank genome assembly.